UUUUCCCAAAUUUGGAAGGCACGUAUUCCCCCUAAGAUUAAAAUUUUCUUGUGGCAAGCUUUCCGAGGCCGGUUGCCCUCGGCUGAUCAAAUUCGUAAGAGAAAUGGGCCGGGCUCCCAGUUCUGUGCCCUUUGCGGUGAUGUGGAAGACUCAGAUCAUAUCUUUUUUCACUGUCACCUGGCUAAGCUUAUUUGGAGUUGCGUGCGGGACUGGCUUCGUGUCUCUUGGGCCCCUGCCUCCUUUGCCGAGUUGCGCAGCUUGGCUUCCAACCUCUCCGGUGUAUCUAGGUGCAUCUUUUGGGUGGGCUUGGGGGCUAUAUGCUGGUCCCUGUGGAUAACUAGGAACAAAUUUACUAUCGAGCACGUGUUUCCGGCUAAACCGGCUGACUGUUUAUUUAAAUCGCGUGCUGUAACACCCUGGGAAUCAUGCUACAGUAACUCCCUGUGA
Molecule: ribosomal RNA, 447 nt
Filed under: Triticum aestivum (bread wheat)
Lineage: Eukaryota; Viridiplantae; Streptophyta; Magnoliopsida; Poales; Poaceae
Description: partial small subunit ribosomal RNA
Source: RNAcentral